UACGUAGGUGGCAAGCGUUAUCCGGAUUUAUUGGGUGUAAAGGGCGUGUAGGCGGGAGCGCAAGUCAGAUGUGAAAACUCAGGGCUCAACCCUGAGCCUGCAUUUGAAACUGUGUUUCUUGAGUGCUGGAGAGGCAAUCGGAAUUCCGUGUGUAGCGGUGAAAUGCGUAGAUAUACGGAGGAACACCAGUGGCGAAGGCGGAUUGCUGGACAGUAACUGACGCUGAGGCGCGAAAGCGUGAGGAGCAAACAGG
This 253-nucleotide ribosomal RNA is filed under the name uncultured bacterium. RNAcentral's name for it is "partial 16S ribosomal RNA". It matches the Rfam family "Bacterial small subunit ribosomal RNA", at positions 524 to 776 of the family's 1533-position model. The record is from RNAcentral.